This 269-nucleotide long non-coding RNA is filed under the name Elaeis guineensis (African oil palm). RNAcentral describes it as "long non-coding RNA (EGUI_LNC041461)". Lineage: Eukaryota; Viridiplantae; Streptophyta; Magnoliopsida; Arecales; Arecaceae. The record is from RNAcentral.
GGGUUUCAACAUCCACGGUUUUGCAGAAAAGUAAGUUCUUCUUAUCAUGUUCUUCUUCAUGGGAUCUCACAGUGGCACCCCUACACGCUAUGAAGAUCACCCCAUUGAAUGGAAAGAGAAGGUCAUGUAACCCUACUUGCUCAUAUGAUCGGACGGCCUAGUGACUAUCCAAUCCGAGUACUUUACUACUCAGAACAUCUAAUCUAAUUCACAUAUUAUAUAUGCAAAAAUUUAGAUCAAAUCUAAAUUAUAUUAGAUCUGAUUUUACA